RNAcentral lists this unclassified non-coding RNA (315 nucleotides) under plant metagenome. Its description in RNAcentral is "partial contains 5.8S ribosomal RNA, internal transcribed spacer 2, and large subunit ribosomal RNA". The stretch from base 1 to 105 matches the Rfam family "5.8S ribosomal RNA", at positions 50 to 154 of the family's 154-position model. The record is from RNAcentral.
GAACUGCGAUAAGUAAUGUGAAUUGCAGAAUUCAGUGAAUCAUCGAGUCCUUGAACGCACAUUGCGCCCCCUGGCAUUCCGGGGGGCAUGCCUGUCCGAGCGUCAUUGCUGCCCUUCAAGCCCGGCUUGUGUGUUGGGUCGUCGUCCCCUCCGGGGGACGGGCCCGAAAGGCAGCGGCGGCACCGCGUCCGGUCCUCGAGCGUAUGGGGCUUUGUCACCCGCUCGAUAAGGACCGGCCGGGCGCCAGCCGGCGUCUCCAACCUUUUUUUCUCAGGUUGACCUCGGAUCAGGUAGGGAUACCCGCUGAACUUAAGC